UACGUAGGGUGCAAGCGUUGUCCGGAAUUAUUGGGCGUAAAGAGCUCGUAGGCGGUUUGUCGCGUCUGCUGUGAAAACCCGAGGCUCAACCUCGGGCCUGCAGUGGGUACGGGCAGACUAGAGUGCGGUAGGGGAGAUUGGAAUUCCUGGUGUAGCGGUGGAAUGCGCAGAUAUCAGGAGGAACACCAAUGGCGAAGGCAGAUCCCUGGGCCGUAACUGACGCUGAGGAGCGAAAGCAUGGGGAGCGAACAGG
Molecule: ribosomal RNA, 253 nt
Filed under: uncultured bacterium
Lineage: Bacteria
Description: partial 16S ribosomal RNA
Rfam family: Bacterial small subunit ribosomal RNA
Source: RNAcentral